This 257-nucleotide ribosomal RNA is filed under the name uncultured bacterium. RNAcentral's name for it is "partial 16S ribosomal RNA". It matches the Rfam family "Bacterial small subunit ribosomal RNA", at positions 524 to 776 of the family's 1533-position model. The record is from RNAcentral.
UACGUAGGGUCCGAGCGUUGUCCGGAAUUACUGGGCGUAAAGAGCUCGUAGGUGGUUUGUCGCGUUGUUUCGUGAAAACUCACAGCUCAACUGUGGGCGUGCGGGCGAUACGGGCAGACUUGAGUACUGCAGGGGAGACUGGAAUUCCUGGUGUAGCGGUGGAAAUGCGCAGAUAUCAGGAGGAACACCAGUGGCGAAAGCGGCUUUCUGGUCCUUAAACUGACACUGAUGCGCGAAAGCAUAGGGGAGCGGAACGG